GACGAACGCUGGCGGCGUGCUUAACACAUGCAAGUCGAACGGAAAGGCCCUGCUUUUGUGGGGUGCUCGAGUGGCGAACGGGUGAGUAACACGUGAGUAACCUGCCCUUGACUUUGGGAUAACUUCAGGAAACUGGGGCUAAUAUCGGAUAGGAGCUCCUGCUGCAUGGUGGGGGUUGGAAAGUUUCGGCGGUUGGGGAUGGACUCGCGGCUUAUCAGCUUGUUGGUGGGGUAGUGGCUUACCAAGGCUUUGACGGGUAGCCGGCCUGAGAGGGUGACCGGCCACAUUGGGACUGAGAUACGGCCCAGACUCCUACGGGAGGCAGCAGUGGGGAAUAUUGCACAAGGGGCGGAAGCCUGAUGCAGCAACGCCGCGUGCGGGAUGACGGCCUUCGGGUUGUAAACCGCUUUCGCCUGUGACGAAGCGUGAGUGACGGUAAUGGGUAAAGAAGCACCGGCUAACUACGU
This 467-nucleotide ribosomal RNA is filed under the name uncultured bacterium. RNAcentral's name for it is "partial 16S ribosomal RNA". It matches the Rfam family "Bacterial small subunit ribosomal RNA", at positions 28 to 506 of the family's 1533-position model. The record is from RNAcentral.